This 1479-nucleotide ribosomal RNA is filed under the name uncultured Bordetella sp. RNAcentral's name for it is "partial 16S-23S ribosomal RNA intergenic spacer". It matches the Rfam family "Bacterial small subunit ribosomal RNA". Lineage: Bacteria; Pseudomonadati; Pseudomonadota; Betaproteobacteria; Burkholderiales; Alcaligenaceae. The record is from RNAcentral.
GUUUGAUCCCUGGCUCAGAUUAACGCUGGCGGGAUGCUUUACAUGCGGAAGUCGAACUGACACGGACUUCGGUCUGGUGGCGAGUGGCGAACGGGUGAAUAAUGUAUCGGAACGUGCCUGAAGUGGCGGGGGAUAACUACGCGAAAGCGUAGCUAAUACCACACAUACGCCCUUCGAGAAGCCAGGGGACGCUGGACUCGCACUAAUGAGCAGCCGAUAUCAGGAUUCGUAGUUAGCAGGUGAGAUAACGGCUCACCAAGGCGACGAUCCGUAGCUGGUUUGAGGACGACCAGCCACACUGGGACUGAGACACGGCCCAGACUCCUACGAGGCAGCAGUGGGAAUUUUGGACAAUGGGGAAACCUGAUCCAGCCAUCGCAUUAUUACGAUGAAGAGGCCCUUCCGGGUUGUAAAGCACUUUUGGCAGGAAAAGAAACGGCGCAGGAUAAUACCCCGUGCAACUGACGGUACCUGCAGAAUAAGCACCGGCUAACUACGUGCCAGCAGCCGCGGUAAUACGUAGGGUGCAAGCGUUAAUCGGAAUUACUGGGCGUAAAGCGUACAUAAGCGGUUCGGAAAGAAAAGAUGUGAAAUCCCAGAGGCUUAACUUUGGAACUGCAUUUUUAACUACCGAGCUAGAGUGUCAGAGGGAGGUGGAAUUCCGCGUGUAGCAGUGAAGAAUGCGUAGAUAUGCGGAGGAACACCGAUGGCGAAGGCAGCCUCCUGGGAUAACACUGACGCUCAUGCAACGUGGGGGGGCAAACAACGGAGUUAGAAUACUGGUGAUCACGCCUAAGCUUGAUGUCAACUAGCUGUUGGGGCCUUCGGGCCUUGGUAGCGCAGCUAACGCGUGAAGUUGACCGCCUGGGGAUACGGUCGCAAGAUUAAACUCAAGGAAUUUGACGGGGACCCGCACAAGCGGUGGAUGAUGUGGAUUAAUUCGAUGCAACGCGAAAAGAGCCUUACCUACCCUUGACAUGUCUGGAAUCCCGAGGGCUGGGAGUGCUCGCAAGAGAACCGGAACACAGGUGCUGCAUGGCUGUCGUCAGCUCGUGUCGUGAGAUGUUGGGUUAAGUCCCGCAACGAGCGCAACCCUUGUCAUUAGUUGCUACGAAGAACGCUCUAAUGGAACUGCCAGUGAGCAAACCGGAGGAAGGUGGGGAGGAUGACGUCAAGUCCUCGCGGCCCAUAUGGUGAACCACACGUCAUACAAUGAUCCGGGACAGAGGUCUUCAACCCGCGAGGGGGAGCCAAUCCCAGAAACCCGAUCGUAGUCGGAUCGCAGUCUGCAACUCGACUGCGUGAAGUCAGGGAGAUCGCAGUAAUCGCGGAUCAGCAUGUCGCGGUGAAUACGUUCCCGGGUCUUGUACACACCGCCCGUCCACACCAUGGGAGUGGGUUUCAAGUAGUUAGCCUAACCGUAAGGAGGGCGAUUACCACGGUAGGAUUCAUGACUGGGGUGAAGUCGUAACAAGGUAG